AGUGAACGCUGGCGGUAGGCCUAACACAUGCAAGUCGAACGGCAGCACAGUAAGCGCUUGCUCUUACGGUUAGCGAGUGGCGGGCGGGUGAGAAGUACAUCGGCAUCUACUUUUUCGUGGGGGACAACGUAGGGAAACUUACGCUAAUACCGCAUACGACCUACCGGAGAAUGCAGUAGAGCUUCGCACCUUGCGCGAUUGAAUGAGCCGAUGCCGGAUUAGCUAGUUGGCGAGGUAAAGGCACACCAAGGCGACGAUCCGUAGCUGGUCUGAGAGGAUGAUCAGCCACACUGGAACUGAGACACGGUCCAGACUCCUACGGGAGGCAGCAGUGGGGAAUAUUGGACAAUGGGCGCAAGCCUGAUCCAGCCAUACCGCGUGAGUGAAGAAGGCCUUCGGGUUGUAAAGCCCUUUUGUUGGGAAAGAAAAGCAGUAGGUGAAUACCCCGCUGUUCUGACGGUACCCAAAGAAUAAGCACCGGCUAACUUCGUG
RNAcentral lists this ribosomal RNA (492 nucleotides) under uncultured bacterium. RNAcentral describes it as "partial 16S ribosomal RNA". It matches the Rfam family "Bacterial small subunit ribosomal RNA", at positions 29 to 507 of the family's 1533-position model. The record is from RNAcentral.